This 77-nucleotide transfer RNA is filed under the name Gammaproteobacteria bacterium. Its description in RNAcentral is "tRNA-Arg". It matches the Rfam family "tRNA". Rfam says of the family: Transfer RNA (tRNA) molecules are approximately 80 nucleotides in length. Their secondary structure includes four short double-helical elements and three loops (D, anti-codon, and T loops). Lineage: Bacteria; Pseudomonadati; Pseudomonadota; Gammaproteobacteria. The record is from RNAcentral.
GCGCCCGUAGCUCAAUUGGAUAGAGCAUCAGCCUUCUAAACUGAGGGUUGGAGGUUCGAGUCCUCCCGGGCGCGCCA